GGUUCGUGAUGAAGACAAAAGGCACGGAAGAAUGUUGCUGCCAUGCCCACCACAAGAAUUCAUCAAAUUGAAUGCCAUUGGCACUGGCGCAAAGGUAUUGUGAUGCACUGACUGGAAGAAUCGGUUCUCGGCAAGGCGCGCAAGAGGUUCAUCUGCCAAAAGAACAACCACAAAAAAGAGUCAGCCUCUUGAAUGGGACACCACAAGAGGAGCCAUUAAGACACGUCAGUCUC
Branchiostoma belcheri (Belcher's lancelet) is the source of this 233-nucleotide long non-coding RNA. RefSeq lists it as uncharacterized. The transcript is spliced from 3 exons. NCBI's taxonomy places the organism in Eukaryota, Metazoa, Chordata, Leptocardii, Amphioxiformes, Branchiostomatidae. The record is from RefSeq and is a predicted model, not a curated record.